GUAACAGAAUCUACGAGAUUUGGAUAUUUGGAUAUUUUCCUUCUGAAAUUAGGGGAAAUUGUUUUUGAAUCUCCGAAAACCUCGAAUUCCCCUCUUCUAGGUAUUCGUGACUCGGUUGGCACAAAUAAAAUCGUAAAAACGGGACGCCGCCGCCUCGAAUCGAAUCCCCCACCAUCCAAUUUCGUUUUCGUUUUCGUUUCUUCCGCCGCAAGCCUCGCCGCCCGCCCUCGCACCGGCGGCCGCCGCCGCCGCGGCGCGCGAUGGAGUCGACGUGCUGGUCGUGCGGCGAGGGCGCGGUGGUGGCGGACCCGGACACCGGUGUGCUCGUCUGCACCUCCUGCGGCCGCAUCCACGACUCCGGCUCGUCGGAGUUCGUCCACCAGUCGAUCUGCACCGACAACGGCGUGUACGACCUCCGCGCCUCCUCCUUCGUCUACCACCAGUCGCAGUCGCAGUACCGGGACCAGAAGCUCUCGAACGGCGUCGUCACCAUCGCCUCCAUCGCCGCCCGCCUCGGCCUCUCCCCCACCGCCGCCGACGAGGCGCUCGCCAUGGCCAAGUCCGCCACGGGCGGCAACCUCGCCACCCAGGGCUCCGCCUUCCUCCCGGCCCUCGCCUCCGCCUGCGCCUUCCUCGUCGCGAGGUCCCACCGCCUCCCGCUCUCCCUGGCCGAGGCCGCCGAGACCGCCUUCUGCUCGGUGGCCUCGCUCGCCGACCUCGUCUCCCGCAUCGCCUCCCACCUCUCGCUCCCCCCGCUCCCGUCCUUCGACUACGCCGCCGCGCUCGAGCGCGCCGUGCGCUCCUCGCCCUCGCUGUCCUCCGCCGCGAGCGAGAGGACGGAGGUGAUCCUCUCCCAAUCCCGGUUCCUCCUCCGCUGCGCCUCCAAGUGGUCGCUCACCACGGGGCGGUUCCCUCUCCCCCUCAUCGCCGCCCUCGUCGCGUUCGCCGCGGAGGCGAACGGGGUCACCUCCAUCACCGUGGAGGACAUUGCGCGGGACAUCUCUGCGAGGCUGCACACCAGCCUCCGCCGGUACAAGGAGCUCGUCGAUGCGCUGGUGCGCGUCGCGCGGGAGCUGCUGCCGUGGGGCGCCGAUGUCAAUGCGAAGAACUUGCUCCUGAACGCACCCGUGCUGCUCCGGCUCAUGGAGAUGAGGUCACAGUCCGACCCAUCAGAGCAGUUUCUCGAGAGCUUCGCUCCGGACAUUGCCGGGAUUGUGCAGGCGUGCUCAGCCGUUGAUGAUGAUGAAUCCAAGUACCUUCAGGUUGCUCCCCAAUUGGCUUCUGAUGAUUUGGAUUCCAAUAAUUCCGGGCAGGAGGGGAAGGAAUUGGAGAAUUUUAAGAUCUCGGAGGAGUGCCUAUCAAGUGCUUACCAAAAUGUCUUGAAGAGGCUUGCUCAACUACAAAGACUUGGGCAAGUUGGUAAAGGUGCUAACAGGAAGAGGCAGCGGAUAGGAGGGCUGGAGCUGGAGCCAUGUAUAGAUUCGCUGGAUGAUGGUUGGACCAAGGACAUGGUGUUGGAGGAUGUAGUGAAUAUUGACGUCGGCUUUGAUGUUCCUCCGCCAUCGUUUGCUGCUGGAAUGAAGUUGCAGAAGAAAAGGAGAGCACGGAUUGAAGCUGCUAAGUGCCGAAUUGAUGCGAUUAGAAAAGGUCCUGUUGAGAGCGAGAAUAAAUUGCAGGCUGCUCUGAGAAAUGAAGAUGCCUGCUCACCGCAAAAACCGGCCAGGAAGAAGCGAGGCAAAAAGAGGAUAGCUGGAAGUGAUCGUGCCAUGAAUGGAGAGCUUCCAAUAGAGAUGCCGGAUGGUCCAGGUGGUGAGAAGAAGAGACGGAAAGGAGCUCCCUCUGAUGGUAUUGACUGGGAGGACUGUAUCAUUGAGCUCCUGUUAUUACACGGCGCAAAUGAGGAAGAGAUCGAACAAGGACAAUACAGAAGAUUGUUAGAUCUACAUGUCUUCUGUGCAGUGAGUGCCAGUGGACACAAAUGAAAACAUGGUGAUUUUCUCAUAGAUGGAGUCAGAAAAUGAAAAAUGUGCAUUGGCGUAUCGUGCUUUCCUGAUGAAGUGUGUUUCUGAUUAUUUCGAAGUGGUUCAGAUCUUCAGGAUGCAAUCUUUCUUUUUUAAGGGAAUGAGCAUAAUAUCUUUAUCUUUUCACUUGGUAGACGGAAUCCCCAAAUGUAUGAGAUGUUUCAAGGAGGAAGAACCUAAGAAGGUAAGAGACAUUUCUUUUAAAAAAAGAAGGUAAGGGACUCCUUCGUCAAAGAACAUUUGGAAAGUGUCCAGGUAAUCUCUAUGCUUGAAGAGGCUACACCUUCCUUCAGGGAAGAUUAAUAGAUCUGUGAGCAUUGGUGUUGCAAUUAUUUCCACAGGCUCUUCAGGAGAUAUGUUCCAUUUGCACCUUCAGAUUUAAGCUCCAUCUGCUACUGCUACUUGCAGUGAGCCUCUUCAUAUUAUCCUAGGCACGGGGCCUCUUCAGGAGAUGCUGCUUUUGAGCUGUAUGACCUCACCUCCUACAUCUGAUUGCCUGAGGUGGUCUCUCACUCUCUUCAGAUGGUCCUAUGUUUUUUUUUUGACGGAAUGGUCCUAUGUUCGGGAUCUCAGCAAUCAGACUUUUCUUCUGCUCAUUCAUUGUGAUGAUGGAACAAACUGGCUAUUGGAUAUUCAGAAGUCGCCUGUGGCAUUGUGUAUUUUCAGCAGUUUGAGGUCAAUAAUAAGUUAACAUUUCUGAAAGCCAUCAUUUUCAAAUUUCCAAUGCAUUUCGUAGGCAUAUAUGUUUUUUAUCUCCUUCUGUUUCGUCUUCCCUUCCCUUGAUUAUACUGAAAUUUUCAGAAUCGCCCAAUCAAAAGUUUGAUUUCUUGGUCUUUAUUGAUUUCUUUCAGCUUCCUAACAUGAUCACCUGGUGGUGAAAACUUGCAUUUGUACAGACUGAAUCAUAAGUCAAACUAAUUUCCUUUUUAUUAGCCCUAUCCAUCUUGUUAAUCAUUUCAAUAGAGAAUCCUCAAUGUAUCCAUUGUACGUAUUACACUCUUCAGUCUGUACAAAAAUUCAUCGAAAAAAAUAAGCACAUAGAAAGAAAAAAAGAAGUAAGAAAACACACUCAAACUUUUGGAAAACUGUAUGCAAAAGAAUCAAGCUCAUUAUAUGUAUCAAACUCAUCAGAGCAACACAUUUCUGAAUUACAAUCUGCCGCUGCUUUCCAUCUAGUGGUUGAAUGCAGUGCAGUCUCUCCUGACCUCUCCAUCCUUGCCGGCCUUGACCCCUAGCCUCCCCAGCCUGACCAUGGAGCUCACGAAGGCAUCGAAGAAGGCGGUCUGGUUGACGGCGAACUCCUCGACGGUGCGCCGCGACGCGCCGUCGGUGUAGAGCACCUGGUCGGAGGUGAAGAGGCCGAGGCCAUUGACGAGGUUGGAGUAGUAGACGUUGUCGAAGACGAUGGGGCUGACGGGGUCCAUGUUGACGGCGAUGGUCUUGCCGACGUCGCGCGGGCACGCCUCCAUCAGCUGCGCCGCGUAGUCCUUGUUCAUGGACGGGUCCGUCUGCUCGCCGGCGCUGUAGUUGUACAGCCGGCCGGUGAAGCGGGUGCAGUGCGCGAAGCCGACGGUGUGCGCGCCGGAGAGCGCCACCAUGUCGCGCAUCGACAGCCCGUGCUUGUCGAACACGGCGGCGAGCUUCGUCACGCGCAUGUCCGGCCCGGGCAGCUUGCCGUCGACGUCGCUCGCCUUGGACACGAGGCCGUCCAGCCGGCCGAGCUCCACGGACCACCAUGGCCCGGACGCCUGUGGUUGAUGGUGGCCAUUGUCAGUAUACUUGUAAGGGAUCAGGAUCCUCUCUAGUCACUGCAUCGUGUCUUUAUCACUGACAUGUAGGCCCGAUGUGUCGUCGGCUCACAUGUCAAUGACAAAGGCACGGUGAAGUCGACUGCAGAGGAUCAUGUACUAUGGCGAUUGUCAGAGUGAGAGCUUCUGGAAGUGAUUUGAGGUGCAGAGGCUUACGAGGGAGACGACGUCUCUGGCAGCGAGGGCGAGGAUGUCGGCGCAGGAGACCACGCCGGGGCAGGCCUUCUCGACGGCGGUCUUGACACGGUUCACGGUGUCGAAGCCGUCGCCGGCGAGGGACAUGUUGUCCGGCGCGUCCUUCUCGGCGUCGUCAUUUGGGGACGAAAUCAAGGCCGAAGCGUCACACCCCUAUGAAUUGAUUGCUGGUUCUGAAGAUUCUGAAGAGCAAAGUGGGAGAGGAGAAUGAGAUGGAUGGAUCCGACACGGCCGCAAUUUGAUAAUGCGCGUCACUGAUGAAAAGUCGCGUCGUCACAUGCAUCGCUGCCGCAACCGACGACCACGCGAGCGAGAUAUCUGAACACCUCUCAGUAAAAAGAAAAUCAUUUGAGAGAGAAUGGCCAAUGGGGAGGAAGAUUGGGGUACAGCCACAGGGCUCCAAAGCUGCCACUGGAAAAGCAUAGCAGCGGCAAGUUGCAGCCUUGCACCGUUGGAAAUGGAGUGGCUUCUGGAUUAAGAGAGGACAGGAAAAUGAUUCCAAAGCUCCAGCAAGUUGAACAGGAUGAUGAACUGAUCGAACUCACCGUGACGAGGCAGUCGUGGAAGAAGAGCCUGAGGACGGCCGGGAUGGUGACGACCGUCUCGUUGAUCUUCCUCGACACCUCAUACCGCACGAUGGACUCCAGCUUGGGGCACGACGAGCUGUAGUACCCCGCCGACAAGUCCGCCGCCACGCCGGGGAACGCCGGCAUUACGGCGAGCAUUGCCACCGCCGCCAUCACGACGGCGGCGCACGGGCUUCUUCUCCUUCUCUCCAUGGCCGACGAUGAGAACAUGAGAGGGGGAAGAAGAAGAAGAAGAAGAAGAAGGGAGCAACACGGAGGGAGAGGAGACAGCACAAGGGAUGGUUUAGCCAGCUAUAAGUAAUACUAGCAGUGGUGUGAGAGGUGAGAUGCUAAUAAGUUUCUUUCUUUCUUUUUUUGUAAUGAUUGGGUUAGUGGUGGAGAUUUUGGCUUGAGAUGGAUUAGUAGUUGUUGCUGAUACAAAAGGUGGUAUUUGCAUAUUUGGUGUGUAUAAAAGAGGGGGAGAGGUAGGGCAGAAAAGGUGAUGCCUUCGAAUGCACAAUAAGGGCAAACGAUACGAAAAGCAUAAAACUAUGUAAGCUUCUUAAUUAAAUCUGGAAAGCAUUUGUAA
This is a non-coding RNA of Oryza sativa Japonica Group (Japanese rice), 5179 nucleotides long. The record is from RefSeq and is a predicted model, not a curated record. NCBI's taxonomy places the organism in Eukaryota, Viridiplantae, Streptophyta, Magnoliopsida, Poales, Poaceae.